CCUACGGGAGGCAGCAGUGGGGAAUAUUGGACAAUGGGGGGAACCCUGAUCCAGCCAUGCCGCGUGUGUGAAGAAGACCCUCGGGUUGUAAAGCACUUUCAGUGAGGAAGAACGCCUGGUGGUUAAUACCCAUCAGGAAAGACAUCACUCACAGAAGAAGCACCGGCUAACUCCGUGCCAGCAGCCGCGGUAAUACGGAGGGUGCGAGCGUUAAUCGGAAUUACUGGGCGUAAAGCGCGCGUAGGUGGCUUGAUAAGCCGGUUGUGAAAGCCCCGGGCUCAACCUGGGAACGGCAUCCGGAACUGUCAAGCUAGAGUGCAGGAGAGGAAGGUAGAAUUCCCGGUGUAGCGGUGAAAUGCGUAGAGAUCGGGAGGAAUACCAGUGGCGAAGGCGGCCUUCUGGACUGACACUGACACUGAGGUGCGAAAGCGUGGGUAGCAAACAGGAUUAGAUACCCGUGUAGUC
This 465-nucleotide ribosomal RNA is filed under the name Vreelandella stevensii. RNAcentral's name for it is "partial 16S ribosomal RNA". It matches the Rfam family "Bacterial small subunit ribosomal RNA", at positions 338 to 795 of the family's 1533-position model. The record is from RNAcentral. Lineage: Bacteria; Pseudomonadati; Pseudomonadota; Gammaproteobacteria; Oceanospirillales; Halomonadaceae.